CAAAUUUUCGAGAAACAACAAAUAGCGCCAUGGGUUUUCAUUUUGGCGAAAACAUUUUCAAAACCCCUCUUUCCUAUAUCGACACAAUCUCCCAUUUCCCAUUUCUUCAUCCCCAUUUCACUAACCCUAAUCUUGCUCCUCUUUCUUCAUAUUCGUUUCCACUUUUCCAUUCUAUCGAAGAUGCAGACUCGCGGUUCAAGAAAGAGGGCAAUCGCUGAACCAAUUGUUCUCAACCCUAAAAAGCAUAGAGUUGUGCUGGGGGGAUCUUCCCAAUCUACAUAAUGCAUCUGUUUCUUAGAUGGAGAAAAAGACAAGACUUAUGGUUGGAUACAUUGAGAAUGGUCAGAGAUUCAUUACAACAAACACGAGGGGAAUAUUGGUGGAUUGGUUAGUCAAAGUUGUGGAAGAGUACCAGCUUCUUCCUCAAACGCUCAUUCUUGUUGUUUCUUACAUUGAUAGUGUUGGUGUCAUUUGAAUUGUGUUUGCAUAAAAAGUUAAAGGUGAUGUGCACCGAAUACCGACAGGAGAAGAAAGAACUAAUUGAAACAUAAUAUAAGGAUAGAAAACUGUCUAAUCUUCCUAAGAUAACCCAGCCUGCACUAAUAAUUUGGGGAGAACAGGACCAGGUAUUCCCACUGGAAUUAGCACACAUACUGAAAAAGCAUCUGGGAGAGAAUGCACAACUAGUUGUUGUUAAGAAUGCAGGGUGUGCAAUCAAUAUGGAGAAACCCAAGAAACUGUAUAAGAUUUUAAAAUCCUUCCUCAUCAAUUUAACUUUCCUCAGGAGGAUGUACAAGAAACCAAUAGACUACGCAGAAGAAACCACAAUUGGAAUGGUCGAUUUGAUACUCGUUAACAGCAAAUUCACUGCAUCUACUUUGGUUGUUCCCUUCCCUCUUUUGGGUGUUGUAAUCAAUAUUUUGGAGCCUUAUUUAUGAAUGAAGUCCCUGGUGAAGAUAUGUGAAAUUUUUGGUGUAAUUUAGAAUUUUGUUGUUGCUACUAAAAUCUGAUAUACUUGGUUUCAAAUUUUGUUGGUACAAUGAAGUUUAAUGUUCUGAUAGAAUUGUUUCUGCUUUUUCCUUUGCAGAAUUAGUUAUAAUGAAGAAGACAUUAUUGUGGUAAAGCUGCAACUGAACUUUUGGUGUUUGAAAUUGCCAUGCUUCUAUGUUAACAAGUGGAAACCACAAAGCUAUUGACAACAUAUAGACAAAGGUGCAUGAAGACAGAAAGAUGCAUUAUUGAAAAAUGUCAUUACUGGAUAUCUUCUAGCUGGCUCCAUUGUUGGACCUGGAGGCUUUAACUUCAUCAAUCUAAUGGUGCAGGUAUCUGGAUACAACCAUGAAUUGCUUUUGUAAUCUUUUAUUCUUUUAUCAAAAAAAAAUUGCUGCUUUCUUUUUGGUGUAGUUUUAGAGUUAAACUCAGUCGGAUUUCAUUUUUUGUAAUCUUUUUUUACUCUAUAAUGAAAUCUAACACUUGGCUGCUGAUUCCGUCAGGGAGAUUUCUGGGUUGCUGGAAUGUCAAAACGAUUAUUUACUAAUUCUUAUAAUGAUUUUCUAAUUGCCAGCCCCAAUGAUAUUGCUUACGUCUUCUCUGAUAUGCACCUCUUAGCAUUCGUCUUGUCCAGCAAGCCAUUCGAUCUGGAUGGUAAUGAUAGAUUUUUAACCCUGGAGAUCUUCCUAGUUUUUGUUGUGCAUGAUAUUCAACUUAAAUGAUUUUCUGCUAUAAAUCUUUGGCAGCAAUGAAUCAUUCACAAUUUACAAUGUUAAACAACAUCCUGCACUUUCAAUUUUAUAACGAACUGUAGCUCAUGGAACUAUAAAUUUUGCUAAUUGAUUUGCUGCUAGAAGUCCUAAGCAGAAAUGAAUCAGUUUACAGUUUAAAAAGUUUCAAUGUUAAACAUCCUGCAGUUUCAAUCAUAGUAUGAAAUCAGUUCUUUGGUGCAAAUGUUCAAAUAAUCAUAUCUUAAUAUCUGAUACUGAUUUGUGUAUAUUUUACAAGCUUUGAAUUUGGUAUGUUGACAGCGAAUUCCAAUGUUUACUUGAUGUGUAUCAUUGUUGCUCAGCUACGCAGCUCAUCAAGAUAUCGAAGCCUGUCGAUUUAUUUUUCAUAAAAAGGAAUUUUUGUAAAGGAUGAAAAAAAGCAUAUAGUGAUAUAAGAUAACACAUCUUCACAAGAAAACGCAUAAGAAAAACACAGAAAUUAAGACCGAGAGUCCUGCAACAAGGCAUGCCAAAACCUCUCUGCAUGGCUGUAUGUUUUCCAAAUUCGUUCUCAUAAGCUUCUAGUUUUGUGGAUGAUUUCUUGAUACAUCUAGAAUACAUGGAACUCAUACAAGGGUCUCAAAAAUGAUGAAGGAUAGAAAGGUGGUGACAAACCUAGGCAACCCCAGAUACUAAACUAAGAUUAGGAACUUGGAACAACAAAACUCUUGAAUGAAGCUGAUUCAAGGAUUCAUAAUUACACUAGUUGCUCCAGAUUAUUAUAGUCCUGUUUUCUUUCUUCUCUGGAUCACUAUUAGUUUCCUUGUUUUCAUCGCCUAAUUCUUGAUUUGUCUCGCGGGAAAGCAUGACAUAUGAUUUGGUUAUUGCAUCAACAAAAAUAGUCAAUGGCCAAACCUUGCUUGAAACAUUCAUGGAAAAACUAGGUUGAUUAAUUCUUGAGUUUUUUUUUCUUGGUCCAGCGGGACAAGUUAAUGUGAUGAUGCUAUUUCCGAUCAUAUAUAACUAUCUCCGAUCAUGUAUUCCAUCAAGUUAGACUGAAAUUCAUAAGCUGCUUGUAUG
Vicia villosa (hairy vetch) is the source of this 2780-nucleotide long non-coding RNA. RefSeq lists it as uncharacterized. The record is from RefSeq and is a predicted model, not a curated record. The transcript has 7 exons. NCBI's taxonomy places the organism in Eukaryota, Viridiplantae, Streptophyta, Magnoliopsida, Fabales, Fabaceae.